RNAcentral lists this ribosomal RNA (2895 nucleotides) under Xanthomonas vesicatoria. Its description in RNAcentral is "bacterial LSU rRNA". It matches the Rfam family "Bacterial large subunit ribosomal RNA". Lineage: Bacteria; Pseudomonadati; Pseudomonadota; Gammaproteobacteria; Lysobacterales; Lysobacteraceae. The record is from RNAcentral.
GUUAUAUGGUCAAGCGAAUAAGCGCACACGGUGGAUGCCUAGGCGGUCAGAGGCGAUGAAGGACGUGGUAGCCUGCGAAAAGUGUCGGGGAGCUGGCAACAAGCUUUGAUCCGGCAAUAUCCGAAUGGGGAAACCCACUGCUUCGGCAGUGUCCUGCAGUGAAUUCAUAGCUGCUGGAAGCGAACCCGGUGAACUGAAAUAUCUAAGUAACCGGAGGAAAAGAAAUCAACCGAGAUUCCCUAAGUAGUGACGAGCGAACGGGGAACAGCCCUUAAGCUGGAAUGGCUUUAGAAAAACAAUCUGGAAAGAUUGGCCAUAGAAGGUGAUAGCCCUGUAUUUAAAAGGGCCACUCCAGUGAAGACGAGUAGGGCGGGGCACGUGAAACCCUGUCUGAAUAUGGGGGGACCAUCCUCCAAGGCUAAAUACUCCUGACCGACCGAUAGUGAACCAGUACCGUGAGGGAAAGGCGAAAAGAACCCCGGAGAGGGGAGUGAAAUAGAUCCUGAAACCGUGUGCGUACAAGCAGUAGGAGCUCGCAAGAGUGACUGCGUACCUUUUGUAUAAUGGGUCAGCGACUUACUGUUCGUGGCAAGCUUAACCGUAUAGGGGAGGCGAAGGGAAACCGAGUCUGAUAAGGGCGCAUAGUCGCGGGCAGUAGACCCGAAACCGGGUGAUCUAGUCAUGGCCAGGGUGAAGGUGCCGUAACAGGUACUGGAGGCCCGAACCCACGUCUGUUGCAAAAGACGGGGAUGAGCUGUGACUAGGAGUGAAAAGCUAAUCGAACCCGGAGAUAGCUGGUUCUCCUCGAAAGCUAUUUAGGUAGCGCCUCGGACGAAUACUACUGGGGGUAGAGCACUGUUAUGGCUAGGGGGUCAUCGCGACUUACCAAACCAUUGCAAACUCCGAAUACCAGUACGUACUAUCCGGGAGACACACGGCGGGUGCUAACGUCCGUCGUGAAAAGGGAAACAACCCAGACCCACAGCUAAGGUCCCAAAUUCACUGCUAAGUGGAAAACGAUGUGGAAAGGCACAGACAGCCAGGAGGUUGGCUUAGAAGCAGCCACCCUUUAAAGAAAGCGUAAUAGCUCACUGGUCGAGUCGGUCUGCGCGGAAGAUUUAACGGGGCUAAGCAGUGAACCGAAGCUUGGGGUGCAUAAAACUUGUUUUAUGCGCGGUAGAGGAGCGUUCCGUAAGCCUGCGAAGGUGGAUUGAGAAGUCCGCUGGAGGUAUCGGAAGUGCGAAUGCUGACAUGAGUAACGAUAAUGCGGGUGAAAAGCCCGCACGCCGAAAGCCCAAGGUUUCCUUGCGCAACGUUAAUCGACGCAGGGUUAGUCGGUCCCUAAGGCGAGGGCGAAAGCCGUAGUCGAUGGGAAGCAGGUUAAUAUUCCUGCACCUCGCGUGAGUGCGAUGGAGGGACGGAGAAGGUUAGGUGUACCGGGCGUUGGUUGUCCCGGGGAAAGGCGGUAGGUUUGGAUCUUUGGCAAAUCCGGGAUCCUUUAAGACCGAGCACCGAGACGAGCCUUUAUGGCGAAGUCACUGAUACCACGCUUCCAGGAAAAGCUCCUAAGCUUCAGCUCACGAAGACCGUACCGUAAACCGACACAGGUGGGUAGGAUGAGAAUUCUCAGGCGCUUGAGAGAACUCGGGUGAAGGAACUAGGCAACAUGGCACCGUAACUUCGGGAGAAGGUGCACCCUUUUUGGUGGCUCAUGCGAGCUAUAGCUGAAGAGGGUCGCAGAAACCAGGCCGCUGCGACUGUUUAUCAAAAACACAGCACUCUGCAAACACGAAAGUGGACGUAUAGGGUGUGACGCCUGCCCGGUGCUGGAAGGUUAAUUGAUGGGGUCAGCCGCAAGGCGAAGCUCUUGAUCGAAGCCCCAGUAAACGGCGGCCGUAACUAUAACGGUCCUAAGGUAGCGAAAUUCCUUGUCGGGUAAGUUCCGACCUGCACGAAUGGCGUAACGACAGCGGCGCUGUCUCCACCCGAGACUCAGUGAAAUUGAAAUCGCUGUGAAGAUGCAGCGUUCCCGUGGCAAGACGGAAAGACCCCGUGAACCUUUACUAUAGCUUUACACUGAACGUUGAGUUCGUCUGUGUAGGAUAGGUGGGAGGCUAUGAAACUGUGGCGCUAGCUGCAGUGGAGCCAUCCUUGAAAUACCACCCUGUCGUGCUUGACGUUCUAACCUAGAUCCGUUAUCCGGAUCAGGGACCGUGUAUGGUGGGUAGUUUGACUGGGGCGGUCUCCUCCUAAAGAGUAACGGAGGAGCACGAAGGUACGCUCAGCGCGGUCGGACAUCGCGCACUGUGUGCAAAGGCAUAAGCGUGCUUGACUGCAAGAUCGACGGAUCAAGCAGGUACGAAAGUAGGUCUUAGUGAUCCGGUGGUUCUGUAUGGAAGGGCCAUCGCUCAACGGAUAAAAGGUACUCCGGGGAUAACAGGCUGAUACCGCCCAAGAGUUCAUAUCGACGGCGGUGUUUGGCACCUCGAUGUCGGCUCAUCACAUCCUGGGGCUGUAGUCGGUCCCAAGGGUAUGGCUGUUCGCCAUUUAAAGUGGUACGCGAGCUGGGUUCAGAACGUCGUGAGACAGUUCGGUCCCUAUCUGCCAUGGGCGUUGGAAGUUUGAGAGGGGCUGCUCCUAGUACGAGAGGACCGGAGUGGACGAACCUCUGGUGUUCCGGUUGUCACGCCAGUGGCAUUGCCGGGUAGCUAUGUUCGGAAGCGAUAACCGCUGAAAGCAUCUAAGCGGGAAGCGCGCCUCAAGAUGAGACUUCCCGGGGCACAAGCCCCCUAAAGGAACCAUAUAGACUAUGUGGUUGAUAGGUCAGGUGUGUAAGUACAGCAAUGUAUUGAGCUAACUGAUACUAAUGAUCCGUGCGGCUUGACCAUAUAACCU